Molecule: ribosomal RNA, 497 nt
Filed under: uncultured bacterium
Lineage: Bacteria
Description: partial 16S ribosomal RNA
Rfam family: Bacterial small subunit ribosomal RNA
Source: RNAcentral
GAUGAACGCUGGCGGCGUGCCUAAUACAUGCAAGUCGAGCGAACGGACGAGAAGCUUGCUUUUCUGAUGUUAGCGGCGGACGGGUGAGUAACACGUGGAUAACCUACUUAUAAGACUGGGAUAACUUCGUGAAACCGGAGCUAAUACCGGAUAAUAUUUUGAACCGCAUGGUUCAAAAGUGAAAGACGGUUUUGCUGUCACUUAUAGAUGGAUCCGCGCUGCAUUAGCUAGUUGGUAAGGUAACGGCUUACCAAGGCAACGAUGCAUAGCCGACCUGAGAGGGUGAUCGGCCACACUGGAACUGAGACACGGUCCAGACUCCUACGGGAGGCAGCAGUGGGGAAUCUUCGACAAUGGGCGAAAGCCUGACGGAGCAACGCCGCGUGAGUGAUGAAGGUCUUCGGAUCGUAAAACUCUGUUAUUAGGGAAGAACAUAUGUGUAAGUAACUGUGCACAUCUUGACGGUACCUAAAGAGAAAGCCACGGCUAACUACGUG